AUUGAACGCUGGCGGCAUGCCUUACGCAUGCGAGUCGAACGGUAACAGGUCUUCGGAUGCUGACGAGUGGCGAACGGGUGAGUAAUACAUCGGAACGUGCCCGAUCGUGGGGGAUAACGAAGCGAAAGCUUUGCUAAUACCGCAUACGAUCUACGGAUGAAAGCAGGGGACCGCAAGGCCUUGCGCGAACGGAGCGGCCGAUGGCAGAUUAGGUAGUUGGUGGGAUAAAAGCUUACCAAGCCGACGAUCUGUAGCUGGUCUGAGAGGACGACCAGCCACACUGGGACUGAGACACGGCCCAGACUCCUACGGGAGGCAGCAGUGGGGAAUUUUGGACAAUGGGCGAAAGCCUGAUCCAGCCAUGCCGCGUGCAGGAUGAAGGCCUUCGGGUUGUAAACUGCUUUUGUACGGAACGAAAAGACUCUGGUUAAUACCUGGGGUCCAUGACGGUACCGUAAGAAUAAGCACCGGCUAACUACGUG
This 482-nucleotide ribosomal RNA is filed under the name uncultured bacterium. Its description in RNAcentral is "partial 16S ribosomal RNA". It matches the Rfam family "Bacterial small subunit ribosomal RNA", at positions 30 to 507 of the family's 1533-position model. The record is from RNAcentral.